UUUAAUUACAAAAUAAAAAAUAGGAAGAAAAUACGAAAAAAAAAAAGAAUAACACGUUAAGUAUGUACAGAAAGAUUUGUUUCUUUUUUGUUUGCGGUCGUGUGUGUGCGUGUGUUGUUGUUUUCAGGAACCUGAGUUUAAAAGACAAUUUCGUUUUUUUUUUUUUUCUGUUCCGUACACAGUGAGAUUUUUUAUAUGGAGCUGACCUUUUUUUUUUCUCUCACCUUCAUUUCUUUUAUCGAAAACUGGGAACGUUUUUUAAUUUGAUUUUUAUUAUUAGUUAUCAUUUCUAAUAUUUAAAAAUGAAAUUCAAAUUCAGAUCCCCGUUUCCCUUCUCUGUCCUACCUACUACUCCGCCCUAUUCUAUUUCUACUCAGAAAUUCAAGUAUCGUGUGUGCCCCCCCCCCUCCGCCCGCUUAUUGUAUCUUUAUAUUUACAUGGUUACGUUUUAUUAUAAUUUUUUCCCCCUCCUUUUGCUGGCUCAGUGAACGUGUUAUUUCUCUAUUCUCUUACACGUAUAUUAAUAAGCUCAUUUACCCUUUCCCUCUUCAUCUUCUUGUUUUGUUUAAUUGUUUUUUUUAUUAUGAUUAAUUAAUUCAUUCAUUUCAAAAAUAAUUCACGCUGACUCCGCCCCUGUCUCCCAAUUCUCCGCCAUGCACAUCUCUUUUAUCUCGGAAAUUUUUGACGUCUCGACUUGUGUGUGUGUGUGUGUGUUUUUCUUUAACGAUUAUUAUAAUUAUUACCAACGAUUUUUAUUUUUUUGGACAUCCAAAACGUUGCGACAAAAAAAUCCCCCUCCGCUCCAUCACGUGUUACGUAAAAGUAAAACGAAAUUUAUCGGUCGUGAAAAAUUUUGUUUCUGUGUCUCUUUCUAUCCAAAUUCUCCCGGGACGAUUUUUCACACGCACAUAACGUACACACCUCACUCUUGUCUCGGACUUUCGGGAGAACAUUUUGCAAUUGAGAGAUGACGACGCGAUAUGACGUCGAUUUUUUGUUUUUUGACGCAAAAAAUUUUCCUUUUUUUUUUUUUAUUUUAAAGAAACAAAUCUCUUUCUUGAAUCUCUCUCUAUCUUGUCUUAUCCCUCACACGCGCGCCAUUUUUUUUUUUUUUACGUUUGUUGUUGUUUCGGUGUCGACACUUGUAGUAAUUCUUUCUUUCUCUCUCUCUCUCUCUCUACUUCUUAACUGCCCUUUUUUUUCCGUAUAUUUUUUUUUCUUUUUUUAGUUUGAAUUUUUUUAUCUUUCGAGACAAAAAAAAAAAUAUAUAAACAAUGUGGGAAAAUGAUCAUUUCUUGUUUCCGUGCACCACGCAUAUAAACACACAUGUAAAAAGAAAAAGCACAAAACUCGUUUAACUGGUACCGGCACGCACUCACAUCCGUUCUUGUAGAGAGAAAAAAAGAAGGAAACGGGCUUCUUAUUUGUUUGAGAGACCAUUUUCUGUUCCUUUGAAGCGCAUACAAUAGAUGCCGUUCAAAAAAUAAGAAACUAGUUUACUCUAUACGUAUAGUGUGGUCGGUAAUUGAACGCAUUCAACGUUGAUGCACUGCCGAGACAAGCGGACAGCUUGUACACUUUCCUCUCUUUUAAAAAGAAAACCUAUUAACAGUAGUUCGUAGGCACCAACAACAGCCAAUAGUUGUGCCAUUGAACGACCGUCAUCUUGCCACUAAUUGCCGCCCUUGUUAUUAUUGGACUAUACGAAUGGAGUGCGUUACGUAUAUAUACGGAACAAGACGUAAUGCUCGAUUUGCAGUCCGUGUAAAGCGCAGCCUUGUAUACAUAAAAAAGAACGGAGUCGUGAUGGUAAAUCCUGUUCUGUGUAUUUCCGAUCGAACCACACCGAUGGCCUUCGAAGCAGAAAUUUAUGGCACAAAAGAAGAAGGAGUUGGAUAUGCGGCCGUGUGUCUACCCGAGGGCCAAUAUAACUGAACAUUUGAACAAGAAAGAAAAAGACUAUUGGAUUAAAAACAAGAUGCGGUAGGAUGAAAAGAAAAAAGGAAAACAGUAAGACAGCUGUGCCCAAGAAAACUAUAUUAAAACGCCAACUGCUAGACGACUGCUGAUGUUCCAAACGACAUGUCUUCCGAUACAAUCUCUACUGCUGCGCUUGUGCUACUUAAGUUCUAUCGGCAAUAUUAAUGCAUCAGAAGCAGUUAAAGUACGGACCGUUUGGUGCGCAUACUGGAAACAUUCCCAGCGAAUCAAAAAAUAUCUCCGAGUGUGAUGGUUGGAUGAAGGCAUCACGCAGAUGAUGUAAGAGAGCAAGCGCAAAAUAAAACAAAACAAAAAAGGAAAGAACCUUUUUCUUUUUCUUUUGUUUUUUUUUCUUCGCUUGUUUAUGCAGCAUCUACUGUAUGCAAGGCAUACACGUACCGUGUGUUAUAUAGCAAAGCUUUUAGCUGGCCGGAGAAAAGAAGACGGGCGGAAUCAGCUGUAUAGCAUAAGAAAUGUGUGUUCCGGGCCUUUUUCCCGUCACAUCUACAGAGCUAGACACAGAGUAUUAUGAAAUAUGCAUGCGAAACUCGUCUAGGGAAUGGAACUAUAUGACCCAUAGACUAAAGGAGGAAGGGGAGCAAUAUACCAUGCUACGUGAGAGAGAGCAAAGCAAAGGAUUUCCAUAUUCAAUGUAAUCAAACCGAUCGGCUCUGGAAAAAGAAAAGAAAAAAGAUGGAAGGGACGCCUGCGCUGUGUGAGGUGCUGAUGGGAUGCAGGUCUAGAAGAAACAAGAAAAAACAAGGAACGGGUCUCAGAUGCUGGGCAAAAAGUCAGAAAACUAACACAAGGCAAAAAAGAGAAGAAAAAAAAAAGAAAAAAGAUUUGUACUCUUGCUCACGCUCUCAAGAGGAUUGUGGAUGAAGACGGAGAACGAAGAGAUUUCUCGUUUCUCAACGGCCGUCGUAAAUUUUUGGCACGACGACGACAUGAUCCCUCCGCUUUUUUUUUUUGUUGGGUUGCCCUCCAGCCAAAGCGUAAGGCUAAACGAGGAUUUUUCCUUUCGAUUAUAAAUCUCUUUGAAACUGAUGACGGUGUCGCGCUCCAGUUGAUCUGAGACUUGGCUCCGCUUAAAUUUAAUUAUUAUUUAGAUAUAAAUAGAGAUUGAGUGCUAGUAAUAAUAGUAUACUAUAGUAUUACUGCAGUAGUUUCAGUUUGAAAUGGCUCAGUUGUGUGCAGUUUGUUUGAAUUGUGGCACAUUAAAACACAACGUCGUCCGGGAUGGGGUUUAACUCUCCUGACGUUAGAUGGCAUCACUCUACCGCGAUCCAAUCAAAAAAAUUUUUUUUUUUUUUUUUUUUCUCCCUGUAAAUAAUAAAAAAAAAGUAUUUUCAUUAUUUUUCUAUCCUCUUCUCUCCGAUUGGAAUGCUUGAUUAAAGCGUGUGCCAGCGUGACCCCCCGCACAGCCAACGCACCAGGACCUUAAUCGAAAAUGAAUGCGUUCGCGAUCCAUUGACCCUCAUUGUGUUUCCACUGCGCCGUGCCAGAUGAGAACAUUUCUCUCCGUUUGUUCAGUUUUCAUCUAGUCCCCGAGUUUAUAAAUUUCUAAACGGCGCAUGUUCCAAAACACGAUCAAUGUAAUGGGACUAACAACAAUUCUCACUUGCCCGUCAACGAGAUUAAUCACAAACUUUCCGUUUCAGAUGAUCAACUCAAUCAUCUUUUAUCGUCUUUUUACUAACAAUCAACCCUUGCCAUACCGAGAAACAUACUACGCUCUUAUGUUACACAGUUUGUUUAGUUUUCCGUCUUGUGUUAGUAUGUGGGGGAGGGCGGAGUGAGUUAAGGGAUGACAGAAGAACCACACGGACGUGAACAACUUGGAAUAGAAAGAAAAGAAGAAGAAGAAGAAGAAACGGAGUCUGACAGCAGAGAGCAAAUGAAUUAUUUCAAAACGUUGGUCCGGAUGAGUUCUGGCGCCCCGCUUAUCCGCAAGGAAGGAGCUCCUCAUUUCUGCCAGUUUCCUGCACCAGAAUGCAAUGCACGCCCCACCGACGACGACAACCGGUACAUAUGAUGGUACACAUAUAUACCGCCAUGAACUAUGCGUCGUUUUUAUUUUUUCUUCAGUCUCUUUCUAUCCAGCCAGCCAUGGAUGGAUAUGCUUGGCUCCUCGCGUCUCUCCUACACGUAUAUAUACUACUGUGCCGUAGAUCUAUUCCGGCCCAUUGAAUUACACCAGUUCAAGUCGAAGAAAAAGAGGAAAGAAAAAAACUAGAAGUCAGCGUCCAAUUUUAGCUUUUUGCUCGAAUGCCGUUGGCUCCUGUUCCAUCUCCUCCCACAAUUCCCCCUCGACAUAGUAUAUAUACAGCGCGCCAGACAUAAGAUAUAUAGCAGAACAUGGAAGAAGAAACGAUCGAUAAUGUUACAUGCCCGCCAUGUUGUUUUUAGAAGACGAAGAAGAAGAAGAAGAAAAAAAAAAAGCGGAAAAGUCAGGAAGAUCUUGCCAAAGGCCAAUGUUCUUACUGAUAGAAGGAAAACAGGCUCGGCGGACUUGUGUCUGUAAUAGAGGGCACUUGGUUAUAUACAUAUAAACCUUAUAGUGUAGUUUGGUACUAGUAUAUAUAGCCUACUUUUAGUCUAUGACGACGUAUAUGUCCCCCCCCCCCUCUUGUUAUUAUGUAUCAUGUUCUUCCCUUUUUUUUUUAAAGAACCAAUCCAAAAACUAUGAUAACUAUCAAUAUAUUCCGCUGGGAGAUUUUGAUGCUGUGUAAUCCACACUGUUGCAAGCUGCCAUUAUUAUUAGUAUCAUGAUUAUUAUUGUUAUUAUUAUUACCAACCUUCCGAAAAGGUGUUGACUGUUGACUUUAGGAGAAAGAGAGGAGCCAUAAAUGAAAAAGAAAAAAGAGAUGAAGUAAACCGCGCGCCAUAUAGUUUGGGUGAUGAUUCAUUAUACGAUCCAUCAUAAAUGGGGAGGAACUUUUGGAAUGGGCCAUGAUUCGUCACUGGGCAACCUCUUCGUUCCCCUUUCAAGCUGGCCAUCCAGCUUCUGGGUAUAUCUGUAAAGCUUAUACGUAAAAAACAACCGACACACCAAAUGAUUACUAAAUCAGGAUAGCAAAAAUAUUUAAUUGAUCAUUUCACAAGUCGUUAUCCAUCACUUUUGAUGGCCGUCGUCCGUCGCGUGCCACUAUAAUACCCACACAGACCGGACCAGGGCACGUAAAGUAUUAUACGUAAGAUGUUUCUUUUUUUUUUUAAGUUUUUCUAUGUGCGCCGUAUAUUUUAUUAACGAGCAGCCAUUCGAAUUGCGUUAUAUAGGCUAUGUAUAGCACGAGCCCCAGACUUUGUAUGUAUGUGCGCGCUUUUAAUCUUUUAUUUUAUUUGAAGAUUUAAUUUUAUUUUAUAGUUUCAACAAAUUUCUGAUUGUCGGGGACGCCGCCGCCCCCCGGUUGUUCCCCACUUUUUUUUAAAAAAGGUUCAAUGUUGUGAUUUUCAACACCAUCAAGAACGAGCAUAAAAAUAAAAGUGAUGGAGGCAGGUGAGAGAGCAACAGGGUUUUGCCCUUCCAUCAAAGCAAGAGAGUAGGUCAGUUCUAUUAUCUAUAUAUUUUUUACUUUGCUUUUAUUUUAUACGAGCUUCACGCGUAGACCGAAACGAUGGGGGUGGAGUUGAAGGGUUGAGGAGGGACAGGCAGAAUGGCCCUAAAGUUUAAAUACCUGUUUCUUUCCAUUUUUAUGAGCCAAUCAUUUAUUACAUGGGACUAUACAGUCGCCGCCGCUUCGAUCAGCACGCGAAGAAAGUACGCGGGACCGUUUGAGUAUUAAAGCGGAAAGAAGAACUGCACACUAGACACUACCCAAUUAAAGGACGGAUCUGUGGGCCUGCAUGAGCAGCCAUUGAUUGAGAAGAAAAAACGACGCCGUUAAAGUGGGUCCGUGAACAGCGACAAUUGCUCGUCGGAUGGUGUUUUAUCUUCGCUUGACAAGUGGCCAUUGGCGAUAUUCUUAUACAUAUGAAUUAAGAUAGCAAGUAUCGGCAACUUAUGGCGUUUUGAAUGUUCUAUCCCAAUGGCGCAUUUCAAAGGGCGGGCGUUGGAAGCUUCCUCCGACCGCCAUCAAGGGAGGAGGAGUCAAGAACCAAGGUUUUAAAGUCCACACCCCCUACUCUAGGAUAUCGAUAUGUCGGCUUCAAAUCGAUUCCUUUGUCUGUAUUGUAAUGGCGUCAAGUUCAAAAGACGCUGGAUAGGGCAGUGAUUUGAAGGAAUGUCGCUGACGACGUCCAACCUUUCGAGAUUUGUUGUCAACUGAUGUUGCAAGAAAAUUUAUCUAAUCAAUCGUCAUCCGAAAAUCAACCGGCUUAUCGAGUCGUUCCAAAAAAAAUACCUCAUACGCCAUCUAGCGUUGGUUAUACAACUCCUUUAUUUGCUGGAAUACGUAUUGAACGGUAAAUCAAAUAACGAAUAAUGCAAGUCGUUAGACAAAAUAUUGCAGAUUAUCUUUAACAUUAUAGAUAAUACAUCUUUUUAAGAUUUUUACUUCGUAGUCUGUGGUCUGGGCUAGGAACAACAAUGCUGAAAUAAUUAAGAUUCUUCUCGAAGAUGAGGAAUUACGGUGAUGACAUUUUUCAGCGUGGACUAAAGACUGCAGAACAAGUGCAUUUGUUUUCUUUUUUUUUUUUAGGGGAGUUCUGCUUAAAUGGAUGAAUCAUCAGGUGAAACGUGAAAUAAGUCUAGAAGCUGCCUAGAAAAACUGGAAACAGACAGUUUUGUUAACAGGUUAUGCAACCUGCAUAGAAAUGUACUGACAACACAUUCUCAGUUGUCCUGUGAAAAUCAAAGUUAAACUCAGCUUGACCCUUGCCAAUCAUUCUGAAGCACUAUUCCCAUUGGAUCUAUUUGAUGAUUGCCUACAAGACAUCAGUAUGACAUAUGAAGAAUCAUCCUUGUCACAUGUUACCUAAACUUCUUAUUAGAAAAAUUCAAUCCCGGUGUAAAUUGGGCCUAAUGAAAGAUUGCAGUUAACAUUUGAAGAAUUAGAAACAGCUUUAAUGCUUAUGCAAGUUUCAGAGAAAUGUACUUACCUUAUUCUCAUAAUCAAUUUUACUUAUUGAAUUUCCUUCCUUUCUAUGUAAUUUUGAUUGACAAGAGUCACACCUGUGAAGUUAUCUACAUGAUAACCCACAAUGCAUUCACCACAGUGGGUAUAUUUUGAGGAAGACUACUUACUCUUUCUUCCCUACCUGUUCCAGUUUUUCUGCUUGCAUUCAAUAGCUAAGCUAGGAUCCCUUUGCCUGCACUCCUGUUGCCAUACAGAUUAGUUAUUAGAAUAGAAAUUGCAAUAAAUACCUAUACUCAAUUA
Molecule: long non-coding RNA, 7298 nt
Filed under: Daphnia magna
Lineage: Eukaryota; Metazoa; Arthropoda; Branchiopoda; Diplostraca; Daphniidae
Description: uncharacterized LOC116922432, transcript variant X4
Source: RNAcentral